GAGGGUAUAGCUCAGUGGUAGAGUGCAUACCUAGCAAGCACGAGGUCCUGGGUUCAUUCCCCAGUACCUCCA
This 72-nucleotide transfer RNA is filed under the name Camelus bactrianus (Bactrian camel). It matches the Rfam family "tRNA". Rfam says of the family: Transfer RNA (tRNA) molecules are approximately 80 nucleotides in length. Their secondary structure includes four short double-helical elements and three loops (D, anti-codon, and T loops). The record is from Rfam by way of RNAcentral. RNAcentral also lists the same sequence under 3 other names. Lineage: Eukaryota; Metazoa; Chordata; Mammalia; Artiodactyla; Camelidae.